This 429-nucleotide ribosomal RNA is filed under the name uncultured Gammaproteobacteria bacterium. Its description in RNAcentral is "bacterial SSU rRNA". It matches the Rfam family "Bacterial small subunit ribosomal RNA", at positions 958 to 1385 of the family's 1533-position model. The record is from RNAcentral. Lineage: Bacteria; Pseudomonadati; Pseudomonadota; Gammaproteobacteria.
AACGCGAAGAACCUUACCUGGCCUUGACAUGUCCGGAAUCCUGCAGAGAUGCGGGAGUGCCUUCGGGAAUCGGAACACAGGUGCUGCAUGGCUGUCGUCAGCUCGUGUCGUGAGAUGUUGGGUUAAGUCCCGCAACGAGCGCAACCCUUGUCCUUAGUUGCCAGCGAGUAAUGUCGGGAACUCUAAGGAGACUGCCGGUGACAAACCGGAGGAAGGUGGGGAUGACGUCAAGUCCUCAUGGCCCUUACGGCCAGGGCUACACACGUACUACAAUGGUCGGUACAGAGGGUUGCAAUACCGCGAGGUGGAGCCAAUCCCAGAAAGCCGAUCCCAGUCCGGAUCGAAGUCUGCAACUCGACUUCGUGAAGUCGGAAUCGCUAGUAAUCGCGGAUCAGCUAUGCCGCGGUGAAUACGUUCCCGGGCCUUGUA